Molecule: ribosomal RNA, 254 nt
Filed under: uncultured bacterium
Lineage: Bacteria
Description: partial 16S ribosomal RNA
Rfam family: Bacterial small subunit ribosomal RNA
Source: RNAcentral
UACGGAGGGUGCAAGCGUUAUCCGGAUUCACUGGGUUUAAAGGGAGCGCAGGCGGAUUUGUAAGUCAGUGGUGAAAGGCUUAAGCUUAACUUGGGAACUGCCAUUGAUACUAUAAGUCUUGAAUGUUGUUGAGGUUUGCGGAAUGGGUCAUGUAGCGGUGAAAUGCAUAGAUAUGACCCGGAACACCUAUUGCGAAGGCAGCAGGCUAAACAAAUAUUGACGCUGAGGCUCGAAAGCGUGGGGGAUCAAACAGG